Cucurbita pepo subsp. pepo (vegetable marrow) is the source of this 1524-nucleotide RNA transcript. RefSeq lists it as uncharacterized. The record is from RefSeq and is a predicted model, not a curated record. NCBI's taxonomy places the organism in Eukaryota, Viridiplantae, Streptophyta, Magnoliopsida, Cucurbitales, Cucurbitaceae.
AUUUUGAUUUAAUCCUCUCCCAGUUUCACUCCCCAUCACAAUCAUCGAUCGCGAAAUUUUCACGACAGGGAAUUGAAAUUGAACGAUUCCUUCUCAUUUCCAUGAUUUCUCAGAAGAAAAUGCCGACCCUCUCCAGGUUCUGGAAUGGAAUUUUGUCAGAAUUCAUGGAAUCAUUUGGCUGCCUCAGUUAGAUAGACUAGAUUGUUGAUGGCGUUGGAAUCAAUUGGGAUAAUGAAAAAUUUGGAGUUAAAAACAGUCGAUUUCUUCUGUUAUGGCAUUAUCUUAGAGAUGAACCUUAUCUUGUCACCUGUGAUAUACAUGUGGGAUCGAAACCCAUUUGAGUUUUUUCUUUCUUUUUCACUUUCAUUGUCUCUCAUAAGUCAUUUCAACUUGUAAAAGCACUCUCAGGGAUUGCCAUUGGCUGUGUGGGGAAGAAGAGAACCUGGGUCAGAUAAUAUAAUGAACAUAAUUGUGCUUGUGAGUUUGCAUUAUCCAUUAAAGAACACGUGGCACAACAAGAUAUGUCCAAUUGGGAUCACAUGUGGACCCACCUGGCACUUAUCCUCCUAUGUUCUCACAGGAAAGCAUGGAUGAUAUUAUUAUUUUGUAUGCAGAGACCAGAAAGUGAAUGAGGAAAUUUCCAAAUGAAAAAUUCCCAAAUAAGAUCUUUGUUAAACUAAUUGGAAAGAGGCGGCUUCUCUUUCUUUUCUUUUCCCCAAGGAUGAUGGCACAUGGGUGACAAAGCAGCAGCCAUCGCCUUCUUCUUAUAAAUAGGUGUGGUGGAAAAGGAGAGUAAUUUUGUUAGGUAAGAAGGAAAGAUUAAGAGAAAAUGGAGGGAAAGUCUAAAGGGUAUCAAGCCUCCUCUUUCGUUGCUGAUCUUUUCGAUGUCAAGGAGCCGCCAUCAACUUCUUCAUCAGAAGUCUUUGCAGCAAUCUUUCCUUCUCCACAGAAGGGGGGAGGCAGGAAUUCUUCUAGCUCUGGGGAUUGGCUAAAACAGGCCAAUGGAAAUCAACCAUCCCACGCCAGACAAGGAAAUUCAGAUCUGAUAAUUUCAAGGAGGGAGCUUGGAGCCUUGCCAUCUGAGUUCAUCUCUAUACUAUGGAGGACAAGAUGGUUACUCCCAGGCCCCAUCAGCUGGACCAUCCCCAUCCCCUGCCCCCACUUUGAAGAAAAGUGGGGGAGAAGAUGAUCCAAAUGGAAACAACUUCCAACCUGCUUCUAGGGGAAAUUGGUGGCAAGGUUCUCUUUAUUAUUAGGACGACUGCCUUUCCUUGGUGGCGCAUGAAUUCCCUCCUAUUUUCCAAGGAAUUCAUAACGAAGCUGAGCAGUGGAGCUUUGAAGUUGGAUUUACAUUACAUUGUGUAUACCAUUUCAAAUUAAUUUCUUGUUUGUUUUUUCUUUUACUUUGAAAAAUGGUGUGAAGUUUUCUGUAUUUUCUUUCCUUUAAUUCCUCUUUUAUUAAAACUGUGCCUUCAUUUUCAGUUCAAUAAUUAUAAGACGAUAGAUUAAAGACUUUUAGUGUUA